This 1604-nucleotide long non-coding RNA is filed under the name Homo sapiens (human). RNAcentral's name for it is "HSALNT0387335". Lineage: Eukaryota; Metazoa; Chordata; Mammalia; Primates; Hominidae. The record is from RNAcentral.
AAACAUCCAUCAACUAAUGAAUGGAUAAAAAAUAUGGUAUACCCAACAGUGAGAUAUUAUUAAGCCAUAGAAAGGAAUGAAGUUUCUAUGCUUGCUACAGCAUGAACAUUGAAACCAUUACACUGAGUGAAAGAAGCCAGCGUGGCAGGUAAAGGGAUGCGAGCAAGGAGGAGACAUUGUGAUCUUGACUCCUUUUCCUUUGAGUAGAGGAUAAUUUGUCACAUUUUGGAAGGCAGUGCCUUUGAGCAGCUUCAUGAGCCUAGGAUCUGACUCUCUUAGGAAAGUUCCUUGGAAGAGCCUACAGGUGACAACAGUGUUGAACUUUAGGCAAGCCCUGUGAUACUGGAAAAUUGCAAAGGUUAAGAAAUGUCCCCACCCUUUUGUGUUCUGGGAAACAGCUCACUGCAAAGAACUCCCUUCCCCAUAUGACUUAGAUGAGACUCAUAGGUGCCCCCACUUGUUUACCUAUGACAAGGCCAGACCCAGAGCCUCCAAACUCCCUUUCUUUGUUUUUGUGGUUAGUUUAACUGCCUGUUUCCACUGGUCAGUCGGAACAAAGUGUUCGUUAACCUAACUUUGGUGUAGAGUCUCUCCUUUCCCCAGGUCCUGGCCCACCCUCAGCCUGAGCCAGCAGACAACUCCUCUUUACAGACCUUCCUGAUCAGCCCUCAACCACUGUCUGAUUGUGUCACUCUGAUCAUCCCAGCCCCCAACACCCACUUCUUUCUAACCUUGUUUAUGCCUCUUUAGCAAAGCAAAAUAUUUACUGCCUCAUCUUGAGACACUUGCAGAUUAAGUGGUCAGAACAUUCCCUCUACUGCAAUAAUCCUUUUGAAUAAAGUCUCUCCUAACUAAAUCUGAGGUUUUUUUUUGUUUGGCAGUAAAUUAAUGAAGCCAAAGAUCACGGGAGACCAUCUGCUUGUGUUUACCCAUGAGGCAGUGUGGCAUAGGCGAAUGGGUGCGAGUCUAGCCCUGCUAUUCCUGCCUGUGUAACCCUAGAGAGCCUUUCUAAUUACUCUCUGCCUCUGCUUCCUUACCUGUAAAAUGGGCUAAAUAAUGGUACCUGUGUCAGUUAAUAUUUGUGAAAUGCCUAAUAGAGCCUAUUCCAAACAAUUACUACAUCAGUCUUUUUAAAAAAUAAAACUGUGUCUUUAUUUUAAUUUUCAGAUGUUUCCACUCACAAUAUUGGUAAAUGUAGAGUUUGCCUCUACUGACUGUCAGCUGAACAUCUUGGUUAAGACUCAGACUGCCUGAUUCUUCUCUUCCACUUACAAGCCUUGGGAAAGUCACAUAUAACCAUGUGGAACCUCCACUUCCUCACAUGGAAGCAGGAGAACCAAAUGACAACUCGGAGGAAAUGAUCAGGACUGAGAAGGAGAGGAGAAAAUCCAAGAGGCCAGACCCUCACGUGGACCCUAUUGUCUCUUCCUUCCAACCUCCCAGCCUAUAAACACCUGUGCUAAGCCCAGCUGCCCAGCCCAGGCCCCAUCUGUGGGUGAGGCCUGAGACUUUUCGACCUUGCCUUGGCUGAGCACCGUUAUUACCACAUGCCUAAGACCCGUGCUCCAAUGCAUCUAUCAGGAAUAAAGCUGAUGUCUUAAGCC